Molecule: non-coding RNA, 208 nt
Organism: Caenorhabditis elegans
Lineage: Eukaryota; Metazoa; Nematoda; Chromadorea; Rhabditida; Rhabditidae
Source: Ensembl
GAGUCAGUUUUGUCGUUUAAACAGCAACAAUUGUGUGGUGGUGUCACCACCGUCGUGUUGCUCCUUUAAAGCUUCACGCCGCCGGCACAGAAGACCCGUGUGAAUGAAUCCCCCGGAGAUUCUUAGAAGAAAGCAGAGGAGGCGCUUUGGUGUGCUCAAUUGAUAUGUCUUGGAGGGCAACGCCUUGUUUUGCCAAGCUUUAAAAAUA